AAAAUGAUGCCAUGGCUGUACUUCAGCUUCACCGCCAGGCGCAAUGGAGGUGCGUGGGAAAAUUGCACGGAUGGGUGCAAAAGAGUGAGACCAGACCGCCUUCUUACACCGCACAAACUCGGACUCGUCGAUUCGAGUCCAAAGGAUCUCCCCCAGACAGUGAGGUUGGUGCAGUGGAUGCUGUGCGCAUCCUUCACGUGCGGUUCGCCCUUCCUGAGCCGGCCAGCUCUACUUCCAUCGGGCCCUUUCGUGUGUCAUGUCCAGGUUAAAAACAAGCAAGUAUUAAGAAACGAGCAAGGCGGAGGAAGUCUCAUUUAAACAGUUCAGGCGGCUACCUUGAGACCAGAAAUGCUGCAGCACAAGGAACUUCCUUCGGCAAAUGGUGUCCCUGGUAGAAUCACAGAUGACACGUCAUGCGUCUAUGUCAUCCAACCCUCUUAGGAUUUAAGUGCCCUGUAUGCUCAAAAUUUGUACCCUCAGAUGAAAUGGAUUUACAUCUUGUGAUGUGUUUAACAAAGCCAAGAAUAACAUAUAAUGAGGAUGUCCUGAGUAAAGAUACUGGGGAAUGUGCGAUAUGUCUGGAAGACUUGCAGCAGGGGGACACGAUAGCACGGCUGCCUUGUUUGUGCAUCUACCAUAAAGGCUGCAUAGAUGAAUGGUUUGAAGUAAAUAGAUCUUGCCCUGAGCACCCUUCAGAUUAAGCAUCAGCUUCCUGUUUUAUAGGUUUUCUUCUCUUCUCAAGAUGCUUAAAAAAACAAGAGGAAAUGGGGAUCUGUCUCUGGAAAAACAAAAACAAAAAAUGCAGGCAUACUCAGCCAAAAAUCUGAGUUCUGUGCGACUCAGUUGAUGCAGAGGUGGACAAUCAUAUAGGGGAAAAACCCUGCUGGAGGGAGGACAUUUGCCACAGAACUCAGUGCACCAAACAUGACAUAAGGACUCACAGGGAUUUUGAAAAUGCUGCACAUCCCUUAAUAGUCAUCUACAUAGGGAAGGAUUUACUGUAGCUGUGGGGGUUCACUGCUCAAGUUCUUCUGGAAGUUGACUUUCUGAUAUGAUUUACUCACUGACUUUUAGAGUGUAUCGGCGUAGGUUCCCCUCGGUUCCCUUCUGCCUUGAUCCUGGACCGCACCUUCGUCGUCUUCUGUGAGGCCUGUGCUGCAGCUGCUCAGCGUCUGUCAGUGUCAAGCGCGACUUGUCACUGCGUUUGUCUGGAACAGUAUUGACUUAACUUGUUUAUAGCAAUCCUUUUUUUAUUAAAACUUACAAAAGUUAGCAUUUUUACUUUAAAUUCAGUCUCCAUCAAUACUUCCUAAAAAGAACUGAGAAAUUGAAAAGAAAAUGCUUUUCAAGCCCCGAUGCUCCAGUUUUUAUUCAAAGUUGCUCUUCUGGAAAAUGCUAUAAGUAAUAUUCUACAUAAUGCCACAUAAUAUUUGUAACCCUGUAUGCAGACACUGAAUAGUGUAAGUAGGACAUAAAAUGAUGUUUGUUAUUUAAAUGUGUAGCUCAAAGUACUGGCAGCUGAAUAUUAUGGAGACAAAGAUUGAAAGCCUAGGUCAUCAAGUUGGUGAUAGCUUUCUAGAAUCUUUGUAAAUACUUGCAAAUAAGAUCACACUUGCAAAUAUAGGAAACAGUAUGUUCUGAAAUUUCACUUCAGUGCCACUCUUUUCUUCAUAAUGGAUUUAACUGCCAGUUUUGACUCUUCUCUUACUGAGAUCUGACUUUUUUCCCCCCUCAGGAUAUGUAAGAGAGCAGAAUUAUUGUCUGACUUUCGGCUCUUUGCCAGAGAAAAAGACUAAGCAAGCACAUUAACCUGUGUUUUUCAGAGAUGGUUAUAAAUCAGAUAUAGAUUGUGUUUUAAGAGCAGUGUUUAUGAUUGAAAUAUAAAUAAUGGUUUCUAUAACUGAUUUUUCUGUAGUAGCUGAAACAUUUAAAAACAUGCUGUUAUCUGUUGCAUACUAUAUAGGUUUUCUAUUUCUUUUAUAAGCCAUACAAUUAUUUCAGUUUUCACCCACUAAAUUAGUAGAAUAUGGAGCCCAAAUGCCUGAGGGGCACCCUCAGCAUAUUUGCAAUAUGUAUUUCAGUUAAUAAAAACGGCAGAUUCCAUUUCAAAGCUUAUUUUACUUUCUAAAGUUGGGUCUAGUAACCUGUAAGAGCAAUCAUUUAAAUUAACAUAAUUAUAACAAGACAUACGGGUCUUCCUUUAAAUGAAACAGAUUGUAAAUUCAAUGUAAAUAUUGCCUAAUUUUUUUUACUGACUUGGAGAGUGGAAGAAGGGAAAUUUCCUAACAGUAAGCUACAUUUGAACAAAGCAUGAGAUUCUUUUAAUAAAAAACUCGUGAUAAUUGAAUUUACCAUCUGAUUGACAUCCAUAUUAUGCAUUGAUAAUAUCGAAAUCAUCUUACUCUUUGCAGAGGAAGUUUCCAUAUAAAUUCGGUUAUUGGGAACUUUAUAAAACUACAUAGAGAUAAAUGUUACUUAUUAAAUAUAGUACUGUUUGUUGCAGGAAGUCUUCUAGUUCAUUUGGGCCGUUUUGUUGCAAUUUGAUUUAUUCUGAGGUGAGCUCAGUGUGUAUUGACAAUGGGUGGUUAAAGGUGAUGUGUCCCUUGUUCUUGUACAGAUAUUUUCUAAGUUAAAAAUUCUGGCAUGCCAAUAUUUUGUGUUUGGCCUAUUCCUCCUUUUUUUCCUAAGAUAUGUAACUUCUAAUGUUUUCUUUGCUAUGUUGUGAAUAACAAUAGUCCAGUUAUCUUUUUUACUGGGAACUUUUCAUCUCUACUGGGAUCUUUCCAUUCUGAAACUAAAUUGCCACUUGGUUCUUCAGAGGAAGUAGCUACUUAUUGUGCUCCUAGUGAAUUCCUGCGUUGAAUGGGGAAUACCUGGUCUUUUAAGUCAGGUGAUUCUCUGUGGAAAGUAAAAGGCAUUGAAGAAAACCAGAUGUGUUGAUGUUGAUGAAAAUACAGCGUUACUUUCUUUAUGGAGUCGAUACAUUUUCAGGACAAGAUCUCUGUCUGGGAAAAGCUGAUUAUGCCAGAAGUAUCUGCUGGAGAACCUGAGAUAAAGAACACCAAUUCCGACACCACUGAUUGGAUCUUACAUGGAAGGCAGAGCCUUAAGAAGCCAGUCAGGAAUACUGGGCAAGUUGUGAGAAAGCAGGAGUGUGUGUGUGUGUGUGUGUGUGCGCGCGUGUGUGUGUGUGUCUGUCUGUCUGUCUGUUAGGGUUCAGGAGGUAUUAGACACAAUAGUUUCCAGCACCGUUAGAGCUCUGAGGCGUAAGUGCAUGGUAAGUACACUGAGCGAGUGGAAGGUCUAGGCUGGCUGAACUGGACCUUUCCUGGCACCCUGCCCCCUCUUACCCACAGAUGCCCGUUGGAUAGGGCCGUGCUUCCCCAGGGUUGCUCAGUGCUGAGGUGCCUCCAAUGAGCAACCCUGGGGUUUUCUCUCUGGUUCAUCUGUCCCAUAUCUUUCCAUCCUACCAGUGUUCUCAGACAUUCACACCAGAAGAAAGUUGUUGUUGGAAGCAGAGUCUGUGGAAGUAGACAGGAAGGGUGAAUCCUGCUGUCCAAGGGAUGCUGCUGUUGGGAUGGCUGGGUCAGGUUGGCAAGAGGAGGACCAGGAAACAUGGGUCAGCUCCCGGGGAAAAUUAUAAUUCCAGGCAAAAGUUGGUAAUGUGUAUGGCAUCGCAAAUGUAUGACUAGUGUGGGUGUGCAAAGCCUACUUCUUGAAUAAGCAUUUGUGUCAGACCUUUUAAGGGGUAAGAGUAGUAAAGUCACUGGAAAAUUCUUUAUCUGACUGGUAAGUGUGAGUGCUGCUGAAACAAAUGAAAACAGAUGAAAGUAUUGCAAACACAGAUUGUGGUCGAGACAGCCAGACACAGAUGUGGGAACUCAUUUUCGUUUUUAGAGGCUUGUUUCCUCAACAAGAACCGUGUUCUAUUUCUAACCAGUUUUCUUUCACAGCUUUUCAAAAACAACUCGAGUAAGUUCUAAUUUACAUACAACAAAAACAUCCAUUGGAAAGGUACGGUCUGAUGAGUUUGGACACUUGUAUACACCUGAGCAACUAUCACCAUGACAGAUAGGGAACAUUAGUAUCACCCCUCAAAAGUUACCGCCAGCCUCUUUCCACUCGGGUCCCAUCCACCCAUCGUCCUCAGCCCUGGGCAGCACGGACCUGCUUCUUGUCACUGUGGACUAGAUGAAAACAUUCAAAAUGUCCUUUAUUUGUGUAAGGCUUGUUUUGCUCAUCGUGUCUGUGAUAGGCAUCAGUUUGUUGCUUGAAUCAGUUCUUUUUUAUUGCUGAGUAGUAUUCCAUUGUAUGAAGAUACUACAGUUCGUUACCCAUUCUAUUGCUGGACACCUGGGCUAUUUCUAAUUUGGGCUAUUAUGAAUAAAGUAUCUGUAACAUUUAUAUAUAAAUCUUAUGUGAACAUGUGAUUUCAUCUCUCUUGAAUAAAUACCUAGGAGUGGAAUUACUGAGUUGUAAAUAUUUGUUUACCUUUGUAAGAUGCUGCCACACUGAUUUGCCUAUUUCGGCCCUUCCCCAAUACUACACUGUCUUGAUUAUUAUAACUUUGUGCUUUGCAGUAAUCUUGAAAUUAGGUACUGUAGGUCUUCCAACUUUCCUCCUUUUUCUUUUAUUUUCAAAAUGUUUGUUUUUCUAGUUCCUUUGGUCUUUCAUGUAAAGUUUAGAACCAAUCUGUCAGUUGCUACAAAAACUCCUGCUGGUACUUUGAGAUUGCAUUGAAUCUACAGAUCAGUUGUUUUAGUUACAACAUGAACUCUUCCAGCCAUUGAGCACAUAAUAUCACCAUUUAUUUCGGUUUUUUAAAUGUCUUCAACAUUUUAUAAUUUUCAGCCUAUGGAUCUUGAUAAAUUUAUACCUAAUUAUUGCAUGGUUUAUAGUGUUAUUGUAAAUGAUGCUGUUCUUACAUUUUUAAUUUCCAGUUGUUUACUGCUAGUACAUGAAAAACAAUUGAAUUUUGUACAUUGAUUUUGUAUCCUAUUAUCUUCUUUAACUCACUUAUUCUAGUAGUUUUUUUGUAUAUUCUUUUGAAAUUUUCUACAUAGACAGUCAUACUGUCUCUAUAAAUAGAUCAUUACUUUCUUUGUAAUCUUUUAUUUUCUGUUCUUUUUUCUUUAUUUUUAGCUCCUGUCACUUCUUUCUUCUUUAUUUCCCUUCCCCUUCUCUUUUUCUCUCUUCUCCUCCCCUCUUCUUCCCUCUUUUCCUUCCUUGCUUCCUCUUCCCUUCUUUCUUAUUACAUUGGCUAGAUCUCCAGAGAGAUCUGAAUGGAAGUGCUAAAAGUUGAGAGUGUAAAGGGAACACAUUCAGUCUUUCACUAUUAAAUUUAACUGUAGGGUUGUUUUGUAGAUGUCCUCUAUAAAAUUGAGGGAUUAUCUUUUGUUCCCGUUUCCUAAGAGGACUUAGGAAUAAAUGUUGAAUUUUGUCGAA
This is a long non-coding RNA of Myotis lucifugus (little brown bat), 5445 nucleotides long. RefSeq lists it as uncharacterized. NCBI's taxonomy places the organism in Eukaryota, Metazoa, Chordata, Mammalia, Chiroptera, Vespertilionidae. The transcript has 8 exons. The record is from RefSeq and is a predicted model, not a curated record.